This is a small nuclear RNA of Budorcas taxicolor (takin), 108 nucleotides long. The record is from RefSeq and is a predicted model, not a curated record. NCBI's taxonomy places the organism in Eukaryota, Metazoa, Chordata, Mammalia, Artiodactyla, Bovidae.
GUACUUGCUUUGGCAGCACAUAUACUAAAAAUUAAAACAAUACAGAAAAGACUAGCAUGGCCCCCACAAAAGGAUAACAUGCAAAUUCAUAAAGCACUCCAUAUUUUU